RNAcentral lists this ribosomal RNA (439 nucleotides) under uncultured bacterium. RNAcentral describes it as "partial 16S ribosomal RNA". It matches the Rfam family "Bacterial small subunit ribosomal RNA", at positions 338 to 795 of the family's 1533-position model. The record is from RNAcentral.
CCUACGGGUGGCAGCAGUGGGGGAUAUGCACAAUGGGGGGAACCCUGAUGCAGCGACGCCGCGUGGGUGAAGAAACGCCUCGGCGCGUAAAGCCCUGUCAGCAGGGAAGAAAAUGACGGUACCUGAAGAAGAAGCCCCGGCUAACUACUUGCCAGCAGCCGCGGUAAUACGGAGGGGGCAAGCGUUAUCCGGAUUUACGGGGUGUAAAGGGGGCGCAGACGGCGAUGCAAGCCAGGAGUGAAAGCCCGGGGCCCAACCCCGGGACUGCUCUUGGAACUGCGUGGCUGGAGUGCAGGAGGGGCAGGCGGAAUUCCUGGUGUAGCGGUGAAAUGCGUAGAUAUCAGGAGGAACACCGGUGGCGAAGGCGGCCUGCUGGACUGCAACUGACGUUGAGACCCGAAAGCGUGGGGAGCAAACAGGAUUAGAUACCCUUGUAGUC